RNAcentral lists this ribosomal RNA (253 nucleotides) under uncultured bacterium. RNAcentral describes it as "partial 16S ribosomal RNA". It matches the Rfam family "Bacterial small subunit ribosomal RNA", at positions 524 to 776 of the family's 1533-position model. The record is from RNAcentral.
UACAGAGGUCCCAAGCGUUGUUCGGAUUCACUGGGCGUAAAGCGUGCGUAGACGGUUUUGUAAGUCGGAUGUGAAAUCCCCGGGCUCAACCUGGGAAUUGCAUUCGAGACUGCAAGGCUUGGGUGCGGAAGAGGGAAGCGGAAUUUCCGGUGUAGCGGUGAAAUGCGUAGAUAUCGGGAGGAACACCGGUGGCGAAGGCGGUUCUCUGGGCCUGUACUGACGCUGAGGAGCGAAAGCGUGGGGAGCGAACAGG